GGGGAUGUCAUGGUUUCGACAGGGUUGUCAUCGCGCAUUGGAUGCAGCCGAGUGGUGACGUAAUCACUAAAAAAUAGUAACUGGCAACAGUUUACAAUUCGCAGCAGCUUAACCAUUAAGCUCCGAUAUACUGUGACCCGCUCAGGCGGGACUGCGCGCUACCGUUGGUUUCGCUUCUCACGCAACGGACCAGUGUCAUACCAAGAAGCUAAGCGAUUACACUGAUUCACGUAGUUGACGAAAAAUCUUGAAUCUCGCCUUUGGCUAGUUUGUCGAUAUCUACGCUAGGGGUUAAAUCAAUAUCGUCUAAGCUGUAGACGCUAAUGUGGGAUCUUCUCUGGACCGGAGUUCGACUCUCCGCAUCUCCACCA
RNAcentral lists this transfer-messenger RNA (371 nucleotides) under Bacilli. RNAcentral's name for it is "UBA970 sp016872075 Standard tmRNA". It matches the Rfam family "transfer-messenger RNA". From Rfam's summary of the family: Bacterial tmRNA, also known as 10Sa RNA or SsrA, is named for its dual tRNA and mRNA-like properties. Its role is to liberate the mRNA from a stalled ribosome. To accomplish this part of the tmRNA is used as a reading frame that ends in a translation stop signal. Lineage: Bacteria; Bacillati; Bacillota. The record is from RNAcentral. RNAcentral also lists the same sequence under 1 other name.